UGGCUCUCGCAUCGAUGAAGAACGCAGCGAAAUGCGAUAAGUAAUGUGAAUUGCAGAAUUCAGUGAAUCAUCGAAUCUUUGAACGCACCUUGCGCCCUUUGGUAUUCCGAAGGGCAUGCCUGUUCGAGUGUCUUGAAUUCAUCGCGCCCCGGAUUCGUUUCCGGGAACGCGGACGUGGGGGCAUUUGCCGCGGAGACGCGGCUCCCCUCAAAUGCAUCGGUGGGGUCUCCGGACAUCCCGGGCGUUGUACAUCCCUCGUCCGACAAGGGUUCCGGUUCAUCAGACCCCGCUUCGACCGUCGGCGCGAGCCGCGGCCAGCUAACUUUGAAAUCUGACCUCGAAUCAGGUAGGACUACCCGCUGA
This 363-nucleotide unclassified non-coding RNA is filed under the name uncultured fungus. Its description in RNAcentral is "partial contains 5.8S ribosomal RNA and internal transcribed spacer 2". The stretch from base 1 to 133 matches the Rfam family "5.8S ribosomal RNA", at positions 22 to 154 of the family's 154-position model. Lineage: Eukaryota; Fungi. The record is from RNAcentral.